UUUACAUUUAGCCCCCUCAUAAAAAAAUUUUCACAAAUAAUUCUAUUAAUUUUAUAAUUAUAAUUUUCGUCCUAUCUCUGCUAAGUAAGUACCAUGUUAGCGCCACGCGAGUAGGAUGGGGGCUGAGUGGUAAAUAGAACAUUCACCGUAUUCAAAUACGGUAAAUGAUUUAUCGUGUUUAGUGGUUAUAUUUAUUCUAUACUCAAAUAAUAUAAUAUACUCGACAAGGACACGGUGAAUGAAUUACUGUAUUCAGCUUAUUCCACACUCUCCACCUCUGCUCGAGUAGUACUUACGUGGCGCCUGUAUAGUGUGGAUAAGGAUAAAAUCAUAAUUAUAAAAUUAAUGAAGCUAUUUGUAAAAAUAAUUUUUUUGAGGGG
RNAcentral lists this long non-coding RNA (380 nucleotides) under Ananas comosus (pineapple). RNAcentral's name for it is "long non-coding RNA (ACOM_LNC011697)". The record is from RNAcentral. Lineage: Eukaryota; Viridiplantae; Streptophyta; Magnoliopsida; Poales; Bromeliaceae.